CUUGGUCAUUUAGAGGAAGUAAAAGUCGUAACAAGGUCUCCGUAGGUGAACCUGCGGAGGGAUCAUUACAAGAACGCCCGGGCUUCGGCCUGGUUAUUCAUAACCCUUUGUUGUCCGACUCUGUUGCCUCCGGGGCGACCCUGCCUUCGGGCGGGGGCUCCGGGUGGACACUUCAAACUCUUGCGUAACUUUGCAGUCUGAGUAAACUUAAUUAAUAAAUUAAAACUUUUAACAACGGAUCUCUUGGUUCUGGCAUCGAUGAAGAACGCAGCGAAAUGCGAUAAGUAAUGUGAAUUGCAGAAUUCAGUGAAUCAUCGAAUCUUUGAACGCACAUUGCGCCCCCUGGUAUUCCGGGGGGCAUGCCUGUUCGAGCGUCAUUUCACCACUCAAGCCUCGCUUGGUAUUGGGCAACGCGGUCCGCCGCGUGCCUCAAAUCGUCCGGCUGGGUCUUCUGUCCCCUAAGCGUUGUGGAAACUAUUCGCUAAAGGGUGUUCGGGAGGCUACGCCGUAAAACAACCCCAUUUCUAAGGUUGGCCUCGGAUCAGGUAGGGAUACCCGCUGAACUUAAGCGUAUCAAUAAGCGGAGGAAAAGAAACCAACAGGGAUUGCUCUAGUAACGGCGAGUGAAGCAGCAAUAGCUCAAAUUUGAAAUCUGGCGUCUUCGACGUCCGAGUUGUAAUUUGUAGAGGAUGCUUCUGAGUGGCCACCGACCUAAGUUCCUUGGAACAGGACGUCAUAGAGGGUGAGAAUCCCGUAUGCGGUCGGAAAGGCGCUCUAUACGUAGCUCCUUCGACGAGUCGAGUUGUUUGGGAAU
This 814-nucleotide small RNA is filed under the name uncultured Davidiella. RNAcentral describes it as "eukaryotic LSU rRNA". The stretch from base 532 to 814 matches the Rfam family "Eukaryotic large subunit ribosomal RNA", at positions 1 to 281 of the family's 3401-position model. Lineage: Eukaryota; Fungi; Ascomycota; Dothideomycetes; Cladosporiales; Cladosporiaceae. The record is from RNAcentral.